This is an RNA transcript of Lepisosteus oculatus (spotted gar), 1503 nucleotides long. It is a transcript of the gene named heterogeneous nuclear ribonucleoprotein D-like, with no coding region annotated. Lineage: Eukaryota; Metazoa; Chordata; Actinopteri; Semionotiformes; Lepisosteidae. The record is from RefSeq and is a predicted model, not a curated record.
CUCAGCCAUUUUACUCAACGCGGUGGAGUGUGUGCGCGCGGCUUGCGACUGUAACUUCAUAGAGACCCGCGGUGAUCUUUUUCAUUUGAUUUCGAUACAGUUUCCUCACUCGUCCAAAAAAAAAACAAAACAAACAACAAAAGAUGGAGACCGAAGGACAGGUUGAUUUUAGCAUGGAGGAAUUUCCUGAGGGAUCCAAAAUAAACGCCAGCAAAAACCAGCAGGAUGAUGGGAAGAUGUUUAUUGGCGGACUCAGCUGGGAUACAAGCAAGAAGGAUCUUACAGAUUACUUGUCAAGGUUCGGGGAGGUACUGGACUGUACGAUUAAAACAGACCCAAUGACUGGGAGGUCCAGGGGCUUUGGCUUUGUCCUCUUCAAAGAUUCUGGCAGUGUGGAUAGGGUGCUGGAGCUGAAGGAACACAAACUGGAUGGAAAACUGAUUGACCCAAAGAGGGCUAAAGCAAUGAAGGGCAAAGAGCCACCCAAGAAAGUGUUUGUGGGAGGAUUGAGCCCAGAGACAUCGGAAGAUCAAAUCCGAGAAUAUUUUGGAAGAUUUGGAGAUAUUGACAGCAUUGAGCUCCCCAUGGACACCAAAACAAAUGAGAGGAGGGGGUUCUGCUUUGUAACAUACGUAGAUGAAGACCCUGUUCAGAAGCUUCUGGAGAACAGAUAUCAUCAAGUUGGAUCAGGAAAGUGCGAGAUAAAGGUUGCCCAACCCAAAGAAGUGUACAGGCAGCAGCAGAGAGGAGACAGGGGCAGCUUUGGAAGAGGAGGUUCCAGAGGAAGAGGCCGGGGAGGUCAAAGUCAAAACUAUAACCAAGGCUAUAAUAGCUACUAUGGUCAGAAUUAUGGAAGCUACGGCAAUGGGUACAAUCAAGGAUACAAUGACUACAGCGGCUAUGAUUAUUCUGGGUACGGCUAUAAUAACUAUGGAUAUGGACAGGGAUAUGACGACUACAAUGGUCAGCAAAGCAGUUACGGGAAGGCUUCAAGAGGAGGCGGAAAUCACCAGAAUAACUACCAGCCAUACUGAAAAGAAAAACUAAAGGAAAACCUGCUCAAGGAAUUUAGCGGGAACUUCAUUGCAGGCCGUGUGUCACCCUGACCACGUCAUUCUCUGGGCGUCGCACAUAGCGGGCAGAGAGCACGGCAUGCACAAGAAAACGCUGUCCUGUGGUGAGGAGCCCAGAUGAGUUUUCUGCUUGUUACCCUGGUGGCAACUGAGAGAUUCUAGUCCUUUUAAAUCAAGAACAACUGUUUUUAUUUUAAGAUGACCUUGUUUUCUAAUUUAGAGGCAAAGUUGGCACCAGCAGGUGUCUGUUUGUAAAUAGAAGCUUUCAAGUUUUGUUGCUGGAGUUGGCUCAUUCAUUCCUUGCCAUGUUGGUGUUGUAAUGAAAUAUCUUUUUGUUUGUUUUGUAAAGCGGUCUUUACAUUUUUAUGCUUUUUUAUUUUGUGUUUUUUGCAGCCAUGAAGGGAAUUAAAGAGUAUGGAUACAAAAAUGA